GGUCCUGUGGCCCAAUGGAUAAGGCGCCUGACUACGAAUCAGCAGAUUCCAGAUUCGAGUCCUGGCAGGAUCG
Non-coding RNA from Ciona savignyi (Pacific transparent sea squirt), 73 nucleotides. The record is from Rfam. NCBI's taxonomy places the organism in Eukaryota, Metazoa, Chordata, Ascidiacea, Phlebobranchia, Cionidae.